RNAcentral lists this transfer-messenger RNA (451 nucleotides) under Candidatus Dojkabacteria bacterium. It matches the Rfam family "transfer-messenger RNA". Rfam says of the family: Bacterial tmRNA, also known as 10Sa RNA or SsrA, is named for its dual tRNA and mRNA-like properties. Its role is to liberate the mRNA from a stalled ribosome. The record is from RNAcentral.
GGGGGUGCACUUGGCUUCGACAGGGAAAUAUUUUGGUUGGCUGGCAAGCAGGAGUUUAUAUCACUUUCUCCUUAACAAAACGAUAUAUCAACUUAAAUGCAAACGCAUUGAGUAAACUAUUUGCACCGAUUAAGAAAGCUUCUGAUGCAAUCGCAUCAUUUGUUUCUCCUAAUUUAGUUGCAAAUUUUGCAGCUUAAUUCCGCCUAGCGGAAUUAUCUCAAACGCUCGCGAAGAACUGUCUCAGGUGAGUUUUAGCGGGUGUUCCACAUAGCCUGAGUACAAAGGUAAUUUUUAGUUUAGGAAUUAUCUCUAUGCAAAUCUAGACUGGGUCUGAAAUCUUUUUUUCUGUCUUGAUUUUUCAGUUUCCUUAAACCUCAGACAGAACAAGCUUGUAAAUACCGGUUGAUCAGAAGUUCUUUGGACAGGAGUUCGAUUCUCCUCACCUCCACCA